GACGAACGCUGGCGGCGUGCUUAACACAUGCAAGUCGAACGAUGAUCAGGAGCUUGCUCUUGUGAUUAGUGGCGAACGGGUGAGUAACACGUGAGUAACCUGCCCCUGACUCUGGGAUAAGCGUUGGAAACGACGUCUAAUACUGGAUAUGAUCACUGGCCGCAUGGUCUGGUGGUGGAAAGAUUUUUUGGUUGGGGAUGGACUCGCGGCCUAUCAGCUUGUUGGUGAGGUAAUGGCUCACCAAGGCGACGACGGGUAGCCGGCCUGAGAGGGUGACCGGCCACACUGGGACUGAGACACGGCCCAGACUCCUACGGGAGGCAGCAGUGGGGAAUAUUGCACAAUGGGCGAAAGCCUGAUGCAGCAACGCCGCGUGAGGGAUGACGGCCUUCGGGUUGUAAACCUCUUUUAGUAGGGAAGAAGCGAGAGUGACGGUACCUGCAGAAAAAGCACCGGCUAACUACGUGCCAGCAGCCGCCGUAACAC
RNAcentral lists this ribosomal RNA (486 nucleotides) under uncultured bacterium. RNAcentral describes it as "bacterial SSU rRNA". It matches the Rfam family "Bacterial small subunit ribosomal RNA", at positions 28 to 526 of the family's 1533-position model. The record is from RNAcentral.